AUUGAACGCUGGCGGCAUGCCUUACACAUGCAGGUCGAACGGCAGCACGGGAGCAAUCCUGGUGGCGAGUGGCGAACGGGUGAGUAAUGUAUCGGAACGUACCUUUCAGUGGGGGAUAACGUAGCGAAAGUUACGCUAAUACCGCAUAUUCUGUGAGCAGGAAAGCAGGGGAUCGCAAGACCUUGCGCUGAUUGAGCGGCCGAUAUCAGAUUAGCUAGUUGGUGAGGUAAAGGCUCACCAAGGCGACGAUCUGUAGCGGGUCUGAGAGGAUGAUCCGCCACACUGGAACUGAGACGCGGUCCAGACUCCUACGGGAGGCAGCAGUGGGGAAUUUUGGACAAUGGGGGCAACCCUGAUCCAGCCAUGCCGCGUGAGUGAAGAAGGCCUUCGGGUUGUAAAGCUCUUUCAGCCGGGAAGAAAUCGCAUGGGUUAAUACCCUGUGUGGAUGACGGUACCGGAAUAAGAAGCACCCGCUAACUACGUGCCAGCCGCCGCCGUAA
Molecule: ribosomal RNA, 500 nt
Filed under: uncultured bacterium
Lineage: Bacteria
Description: partial 16S ribosomal RNA
Rfam family: Bacterial small subunit ribosomal RNA
Source: RNAcentral